GACGAACGCUGGCGGCGUGCUUAACACAUGCAAGUCGAACGGAAAGGCCCUGCUUUUGUGGGGUGCUCGAGUGGCGAACGGGUGAGUAACACGUGAGUAACCUGCCCUUGACUUUGGGAUAACUUCAGGAAACUGGGGCUAAUACCGGAUAGGAGCUCCUGCUGCAUGGUGUGGGUUGGAAAGUUUCGGCGGUUGGGGAUGGACUCGCGGCUUAUCAGCUUGUUUGUGGGGUAGUGGCUUACCAAGGCUUUGACGGGUAGCCGGCCUGGGAGGGUGACCGGGCACAUGGGGACUGAGAUAGGGCCCAGACUCGAACGGGAGGCAGCAGUGGGGAAUAUUGCACAAUGGGCGGAAGCCUGAUGCAGCAACGCCGCGUGCGGGAUGACGGCCUUCGGGUUGUAAACCGCUUUCGCCUGUGACGAAGCGUGAGUGACGGUAAUGGGUAAAGAAGCACCGGCUAACUACGUG
RNAcentral lists this ribosomal RNA (468 nucleotides) under uncultured bacterium. RNAcentral describes it as "partial 16S ribosomal RNA". It matches the Rfam family "Bacterial small subunit ribosomal RNA", at positions 28 to 507 of the family's 1533-position model. The record is from RNAcentral.